GGGUGCGAUCAUACCAGCACUAACGCACCGGAUCCCAUCAGAACUCCGCAGUCAAGCGUGCUUGGGCGAGAGUAGUACUAGGAUGGGUGACCUCCCGGGAAGUCCUCGAGUUGUAUCCC
RNAcentral lists this ribosomal RNA (119 nucleotides) under Brassica oleracea var. oleracea. Lineage: Eukaryota; Viridiplantae; Streptophyta; Magnoliopsida; Brassicales; Brassicaceae. The record is from RNAcentral.